RNAcentral lists this ribosomal RNA (492 nucleotides) under uncultured bacterium. RNAcentral describes it as "partial 16S ribosomal RNA". It matches the Rfam family "Bacterial small subunit ribosomal RNA", at positions 30 to 507 of the family's 1533-position model. The record is from RNAcentral.
AUUGAACGCUGGCGGCAUGCUUUACACAUGCAAGUCGAACGGUAACAGGCCUUCGGGUGCUGACGAGUGGCGAACGGGUGAGUAAUGCAUCGGAACGUACCCAGAGGUGGGGGAUAACGCAGCGAAAGCUGUGCUAAUACUGCAUGUGAUCUGAGGAUGAAAGCGGGGGACCGAGCAGCAAUGUUUGGCCUCGCGCCUUUGGAGCGGCCGAUGUCGGAUUAGCUAGUUGGUGGGGUAAAGGCCUACCAAGGCGACGAUCCGUAGCUGGUCUGAGAGGACGACCAGCCACACUGGAACUGAGACACGGCCCAGACUCCUACGGGAGGCAGCAGUGGGGAAUUUUGGACAAUGGGCGCAAGCCUGAUCCAGCAAUGCCGCGUGCGGGAAGAAGGCCUUCGGGUUGUAAACCGCUUUUGGCAGGAACGAAACGGUGUCCGCUAAUACCGGGCGCUAAUGACGGUACCUGCAGAAUAAGCACCGGCUAACUACGUG